UACGAAGGGGGCUAGCGUUGUUCGGAAUUACUGGGCGUAAAGCGUAUGCAGGCGGAUCGUUAAGUCGGGGGUGAAAUCCCGAGGCUCAACCUCGGAACUGCCUUCGAUACUGGCGAUCUUGAGUCCGGGAGAGGUGAGUGGAACUCCGAGUGUAGAGGUGAAAUUCGUAGAUAUUCGGAAGAACACCAGUGGCGAAGGCGGCUCACUGGCCCGGUACUGACGCUGAGAUACGAAAGCGUGGGGAGCAAGCAGG
RNAcentral lists this ribosomal RNA (253 nucleotides) under uncultured bacterium. RNAcentral's name for it is "partial 16S ribosomal RNA". It matches the Rfam family "Bacterial small subunit ribosomal RNA", at positions 524 to 776 of the family's 1533-position model. The record is from RNAcentral.